AUGUGUUUCUUUGUUUUACUUCUCUUUCAUAUCCAGUUAUUUAGAAAUUCUCUGCUAACCUCCCGGCAGUUAAAUAUGAUUAGGUAUAAUGUGAAGCAUUUGCUUGACAGAGGUACCUUCAUGUCAAUGUGAAGCAUUUAUGUUGCUAUACGUUGCAGGAAUGUAUCCAUGUACUCGGAAACCUGUGAACUCUUUGAUACACCUUUUAUGUGUUGCUUUUGGUCUUGAUAGAGGGAGAUACAUUGACAGGAAGUGCUCACUCGCUAGAAUUGUUUCUAUCAGGGGCAGAAUUAUUGUUGAAACAUGCACUGUGUGAAGAUGAAUAGGAACCUUUCAUAAUUAUUCCCAAACAUGCCACUGUGUCAUCAUUGGCCAAUGCAGGACCUCUUAGAUUAUACAAGUCCCUAUGUUUGUUUGGAUUCAUUAACCAUGGGAUUGGACUUUCAUUCGAUGCCACUAGCUCCUGUGAUGCACUGUGUAAACUACCGUGUGAUCUCCCUCUUCUUUUGUGAUUGCAUCCCCUUUGUCACAUCUAUCCAUCCUUUUGUACUUGAUAUGUACCGUGUAUGAACAAUUGUAUCCUUUAGUUUACCCUGUAUAUGAACAUUGCAUCCUCAAAUGUGUUGUGUUGUCGUUCUGUUGGCUAUGGA
Triticum dicoccoides is the source of this 650-nucleotide long non-coding RNA. RefSeq lists it as uncharacterized. NCBI's taxonomy places the organism in Eukaryota, Viridiplantae, Streptophyta, Magnoliopsida, Poales, Poaceae. The record is from RefSeq and is a predicted model, not a curated record. The transcript has 3 exons.